Molecule: transfer RNA, 26 nt
Filed under: Meloidogyne incognita (southern root-knot nematode)
Lineage: Eukaryota; Metazoa; Nematoda; Chromadorea; Rhabditida; Meloidogynidae
Description: partial tRNA-His
Source: RNAcentral
AAGCUAUUAAUUUCAAUUUGAAUUUA